AUUGAACGCUGGCGGCAGGCCUAACACAUGCAAGUCGAACGGUAACAGGAAGAAGCUUGCUUCUUUGCUGACGAGUGGCGGACGGGUGAGUAAUGUCUGGGAAACUGCCCGAUGGAGGGGGAUAACUACUGGAAACGGUAGCUAAUACCGCAUAACGUCGCAAGACCAAAGAGGGGGACCUUCGGGCCUCUUGCCAUCGGAUGUGCCCAGAUGGGAUUAGCUAGUAGGUGGGGUAACGGCUCACCUAGGCGACGAUCCCUAGCUGGUCUGAGAGGAUGACCAGCCACACUGGAACUGAGACACGGUCCAGACUCCUACGGGAGGCAGCAGUGGGGAAUAUUGCACAAUGGGCGCAAGCCUGAUGCAGCCAUGCCGCGUGUAUGAAGAAGGCCUUCGGGUUGUAAAGUACUUUCAGCGGGGAGGAAGGGAGUAAAGUUAAUACCUUUACUCAUUGACGUUACCCGCAGAAGAAGCACCGGCUAACUCCGUG
RNAcentral lists this ribosomal RNA (490 nucleotides) under uncultured bacterium. RNAcentral describes it as "partial 16S ribosomal RNA". It matches the Rfam family "Bacterial small subunit ribosomal RNA", at positions 30 to 507 of the family's 1533-position model. The record is from RNAcentral.